UUUUCUACCCAUCUUCAACAUCUGUCCCACUCGCAUUCUCACUUUACUGAGUUUUUUCUCUGAAACCAAACAAAAAAAAAAACCUGUUACUUUAAUCUUUUCUGUUGCAGUAGUUGAGUUCUUGCUUGUCUAAAGCUUUGAGGGCGUUCUUUUUCCAUUUUUCUGAAGUGGGUCUCUUGGGAUCGCUGUCAAUGCCCUUUGUUGAAUUUCAGAGUUUGGAGACCUAGGGUUGCGUUUGGUUGUGACGAUUAAAGCUUAAAGGAUGAGGAGGAGUAAGAUAAAGAAAGAAGAGAUUGCAGAAGACUACUGCUUUGUCUGCAAAGAUGGAGGUCUGCUUAUGGUCUGCGACUACAAGAUUUGGAGAUGGAGAUGUUCUUUCAGGUUGGAGAACAGUAGGCUUCGAGUGCAUACAGUGCAUGAGUUUGGAGG
Long non-coding RNA from Vitis riparia (riverbank grape), 429 nucleotides. RefSeq lists it as uncharacterized. The record is from RefSeq and is a predicted model, not a curated record. The transcript has 3 exons. Lineage: Eukaryota; Viridiplantae; Streptophyta; Magnoliopsida; Vitales; Vitaceae.